RNAcentral lists this long non-coding RNA (231 nucleotides) under Nicotiana benthamiana. Its description in RNAcentral is "long non-coding RNA (NBEN_LNC000884)". Lineage: Eukaryota; Viridiplantae; Streptophyta; Magnoliopsida; Solanales; Solanaceae. The record is from RNAcentral.
UGUCAGUUGAUUGAAUACUCAAUUUCGACAUCGCCUUCGAGAACGUGAUCUAUUGGAACAUGGACAUGAUGUAUAACAAUCAUAUCAAUACUUGCAAAGUGUUAUAUCUAUUCUACUAGCAAUAGGGUAGAGAAAGGAACGAUCAUACCCGGUUUGUCUUGAUGUCAUCCUCCAUUGUUGACAUCUCAAGUUGCUAGUUAUCGAAUAAUGUACUUCAAGCAAGCAUAUUAG